This 2770-nucleotide ribosomal RNA is filed under the name Escherichia coli. RNAcentral describes it as "partial 23S ribosomal RNA". It matches the Rfam family "Bacterial large subunit ribosomal RNA". The record is from RNAcentral. Lineage: Bacteria; Pseudomonadati; Pseudomonadota; Gammaproteobacteria; Enterobacterales; Enterobacteriaceae.
GUUAAGCGACUAAGCGUACACGGUGGAUGCCCUGGCAGUCAGAGGCGAUGAAGGACGUGCUAAUCUGCGAUAAGCGUCGGUGAGGUGAUAUGAACCGUUAUAACCGGCGAUUUCCGAAUGGGGAAACCCAGUGUGUUUCGACACACUAUCAUUAACUGAAUCCAUAGGUUAAUGAGGCGAACCGGGGGAACUGAAACAUCUAAGUACCCCGAGGAAAAGAAAUCAACCGAGAUUCCCCCAGUAGCGGCGAGCGAACGGGGAGGAGCCCAGAGCCUGAAUCAGUGUGUGUGUUAGUGGAAGCGUCUGGAAAGGCGCGCGAUACAGGGUGACAGCCCCGUACACAAAAAUGCACAUAUUGUGAGCUCGAUGAGUAGGGCGGGACACGUGGUAUCCUGUCUGAAUAUGGGGGGACCAUCCUCCAAGGCUAAAUACUCCUGACUGACCGAUAGUGAACCAGUACCGUGAGGGAAAGGCGAAAAGAACCCCGGCGAGGGGAGUGAAAAAGAACCUGAAACCGUGUACGUACAAGCAGUGGGAGCCUCUUUAUGGGGUGACUGCGUACCUUUUGUAUAAUGGGUCAGCGACUUAUAUUCUGUAGCAAGGUUAACCGAAUAGGGGAGCCGAAGGGAAACCGAGUCUUAACUGGGCGUUAAGUUGCAGGGUAUAGACCCGAAACCCGGUGAUCUAGCCAUGGGCAGGUUGAAGGUUGGGUAACACUAACUGGAGGACCGAACCGACUAAUGUUGAAAAAUUAGCGGAUGACUUGUGGCUGGGGGUGAAAGGCCAAUCAAACCGGGAGAUAGCUGGUUCUCCCCGAAAGCUAUUUAGGUAGCGCCUCGUGAAUUCAUCUCCGGGGGUAGAGCACUGUUUCGGCAAGGGGGUCAUCCCGACUUACCAACCCGAUGCAAACUGCGAAUACCGGAGAAUGUUAUCACGGGAGACACACGGCGGGUGCUAACGUCCGUCGUGAAGAGGGAAACAACCCAGACCGCCAGCUAAGGUCCCAAAGUCAUGGUUAAGUGGGAAACGAUGUGGGAAGGCCCAGACAGCCAGGAUGUUGGCUUAGAAGCAGCCAUCAUUUAAAGAAAGCGUAAUAGCUCACUGGUCGAGUCGGCCUGCGCGGAAGAUGUAACGGGGCUAAACCAUGCACCGAAGCUGCGGCAGCGACACUAUGUGUUGUUGGGUAGGGGAGCGUUCUGUAAGCCUGUGAAGGUGGCCUGUGAGGGUUGCUGGAGGUAUCAGAAGUGCGAAUGCUGACAUAAGUAACGAUAAAGCGGGUGAAAAGCCCGCUCGCCGGAAGACCAAGGGUUCCUGUCCAACGUUAAUCGGGGCAGGGUGAGUCGACCCCUAAGGCGAGGCCGAAAGGCGUAGUCGAUGGGAAACAGGUUAAUAUUCCUGUACUUGGUGUUACUGCGAAGGGGGGACGGAGAAGGCUAUGUUGGCCGGGCGACGGUUGUCCCGGUUUAAGCGUGUAGGCUGGUUUUCCAGGCAAAUCCGGAAAACCAAGGCUGAGGCGUGAUGACGAGGCACUACGGUGCUGAAGCGACAAAUGCCCUGCUUCCAGGAAAAGCCUCUAAGCAUCAGGUAACAUCAAAUCGUACCCCAAACCGACACAGGUGGUCAGGUAGAGAAUACCAAGGCGCUUGAGAGAACUCGGGUGAAGGAACUAGGCAAAAUGGUGCCGUAACUUCGGGAGAAGGCACGCUGAUAUGUAGGUGAAGCGACUUGCUCGUGGAGCUGAAAUCAGUCGAAGAUACCAGCUGGCUGCAACUGUUUAUUAAAAACACAGCACUGUGCAAACACGAAAGUGGACGUAUACGGUGUGACGCCUGCCCGGUGCCGGAAGGUUAAUUGAUGGGGUUAGCGGUAACGCGAAGCUCUUGAUCGAAGCCCCGGUAAACGGCGGCCGUAACUAUAACGGUCCUAAGGUAGCGAAAUUCCUUGUCGGGUAAGUUCCGACCUGCACGAAUGGCGUAAUGAUGGCCAGGCUGUCUCCACCCGAGACUCAGUGAAAUUGAACUCGCUGUGAAGAUGCAGUGUACCCGCGGCAAGACGGAAAGACCCCGUGAACCUUUACUAUAGCUUGACACUGAACAUUGAGCCUUGAUGUGUAGGAUAGGUGGGAGGCUUUGAAGUGUGGACGCCAGUCUGCAUGGAGCCGACCUUGAAAUACCACCCUUUAAUGUUUGAUGUUCUAACGUUGGCCCGUAAUCCGGGUUGCGGACAGUGUCUGGUGGGUAGUUUGACUGGGGCGGUCUCCUCCUAAAGAGUAACGGAGGAGCACGAAGGUUGGCUAAUCCUGGUCGGACAUCAGGAGGUUAGUGCAAUGGCAUAAGCCAGCUUGACUGCGAGCGUGACGGCGCGAGCAGGUGCGAAAGCAGGUCAUAGUGAUCCGGUGGUUCUGAAUGGAAGGGCCAUCGCUCAACGGAUAAAAGGUACUCCGGGGAUAACAGGCUGAUACCGCCCAAGAGUUCAUAUCGACGGCGGUGUUUGGCACCUCGAUGUCGGCUCAUCACAUCCUGGGGCUGAAGUAGGUCCCAAGGGUAUGGCUGUUCGCCAUUUAAAGUGGUACGCGAGCUGGGUUUAGAACGUCGUGAGACAGUUCGGUCCCUAUCUGCCGUGGGCGCUGGAGAACUGAGGGGGGCUGCUCCUAGUACGAGAGGACCGGAGUGGACGCAUCACUGGUGUUCGGGUUGUCAUGCCAAUGGCACUGCCCGGUAGCUAAAUGCGGAAGAGAUAAGUGCUGAAAGCAUCUAAGCACGAAACUUGC